This 27-nucleotide non-coding RNA is filed under the name Rattus norvegicus (Norway rat). Lineage: Eukaryota; Metazoa; Chordata; Mammalia; Rodentia; Muridae. The record is from RNAcentral.
AGCAAUAAGGAGCAUGGUUGAUACAUC